RNAcentral lists this small RNA (76 nucleotides) under Pseudomonas aeruginosa. RNAcentral describes it as "isrK". It matches the Rfam family "isrK Hfq binding RNA". The record is from RNAcentral. Lineage: Bacteria; Pseudomonadati; Pseudomonadota; Gammaproteobacteria; Pseudomonadales; Pseudomonadaceae.
GCCUCCGUAAAUCCGGGGGUCGGGAUUGGCGUCCCGGCAGUAGAGGCGGACACACCGCCUAAUCAGCGGUUUUUUU